UACUGAUCCCUUUGUUCAAAGAAAACAGUUUCCCUUUUAUGAGAAGGCCAAGAUAAAAAGGACUAGAAGGCAGUAAAUUGAGACUGCAAAUUCUCUAACAGGACUCCAAAUUUGUUAUUAACUCUGCCUUCCUUAAUGGAAAAUAUAGAAGAGAAAAUUGCAACUGAUGAAGAAUGGUUUAAACUCCUGAAAAAACUUGAAAGGAUUCUGGAUUUUUUUUAUUUUUAAGAGAAAUUUUAUUUCUUUUUUCAUGACAAAAAUAAAAGAGAGGAAAAGGAAUGUCUCUAAAAUUUGUGAAGCAUUAUGACAAGGAGAUGCUUAUAUCAUUAAUCUCAAGGCUCUAUGGUGUAGUAACAUUAUUUUCAAACUGCUGCUUGGAACCAUUUACACAAGAAGAAUAUGUUAGGGGAUUUAAGGGAGGGGUCACUAUCCUGGAGGCUUGGACGAGAGAAGAUAUACAUACAGAGACACACAGAAACAAAAGGAACACAAAACUUUUCAGUUCUACAGAGAAGAGGGGAG
RNAcentral lists this long non-coding RNA (522 nucleotides) under Homo sapiens (human). RNAcentral's name for it is "HSALNT0142481". The record is from RNAcentral. Lineage: Eukaryota; Metazoa; Chordata; Mammalia; Primates; Hominidae.